AUCGUAGGAAGGCAGCCCCGGAGCCUUGCUCCAUGCCUGGGAAGUGACCUGCAGGGAGGAGAGUUGGGUCCCUAGUAAACUCCCUCUAGCUCUUGCUUCCCAUCCUGAAAGAGGUGUUUGUAGCUUUGCAAAGGAAUAUGGUCAACGCUGCUGGACAUAGGCUUUGUUUUCCCCAAAGAGGUACCAGAUGGCCGAAGAUUCACUGCAGAGAAGCCAGGCACAGAAAAACAAGGCCGCCUUCUUUGACUGACGUCUAGAGAAGAAAAAUAAACAUGCAGGAUUAGAGGCCAAGACCUGUGGAAGAAAAGACUACCACGGAGGUGAGAGAAUUGUCUUCUGCUCAAUAGCUCGAGAGGAGUCAACAGGAGUUGUCCGAGAGAAACUUUUUCCCUGUGAGGCGAGGAAAGGUCACUUUCUGCUCCUUGCACAGUUGGCAUCAUUGUAGAAAGCUUCUUUGGGGGCUCAUCAGAAAAACAG
Molecule: long non-coding RNA, 477 nt
Organism: Equus quagga
Lineage: Eukaryota; Metazoa; Chordata; Mammalia; Perissodactyla; Equidae
Exons: 3
Source: RefSeq, a predicted model, not a curated record